Molecule: ribosomal RNA, 449 nt
Filed under: uncultured bacterium
Lineage: Bacteria
Description: partial 16S ribosomal RNA
Rfam family: Bacterial small subunit ribosomal RNA
Source: RNAcentral
AACGAACGCUGGCGGCAUGCCUAACACAUGCAAGUCGAACGAGAUCUUCGGGUCUAGUGGCGCACGGGUGCGUAACGCGUGGGAAUCUGCCCUUUGGUUCGGAAUAACAGUUGGAAACGACUGCUAAUACCGGAUGAUGACGAAAGUCCAAAGAUUUAUCGCCAGAGGAUGAGCCCGCGUAGGAUUAGCUAGUUGGUGGGGUAAAGGCGCACCAAGGCGACGAUACUUAGCUGGUCUGAGAGGACGAUCAGCCACACUGGGACUGAGACACGACGAAGAAUCCGACGGGAGGCAGCAGUGGGGAAUAUUGGAAAAUGGGCGAAAGCCUGAUCCAGCAACGCCGCGUGAGUGAUGAAGGCCUUAGGGUUGUAAAGCUCUUUUACCCGGGAUGAUAAUGACAGUACCGGGAGAAUAAGCUCCGGCUAACUCCGUGCCAGCAGCCGCCGUAA